GCCUGGGUAGCUCAGUCGGUAGAGCAUGCAACUCUUGAUCCUGGGGUUGUGAGUUCAAGUCCCACACUGGGUA
Molecule: transfer RNA, 73 nt
Filed under: Canis lupus familiaris (dog)
Lineage: Eukaryota; Metazoa; Chordata; Mammalia; Carnivora; Canidae
Also listed under: 1 other name
Rfam family: tRNA
About the family: Transfer RNA (tRNA) molecules are approximately 80 nucleotides in length. Their secondary structure includes four short double-helical elements and three loops (D, anti-codon, and T loops).
Source: Rfam by way of RNAcentral